Molecule: RNase P RNA, 428 nt
Filed under: Hyphomicrobiales bacterium
Lineage: Bacteria; Pseudomonadati; Pseudomonadota; Alphaproteobacteria; Hyphomicrobiales
Description: RNase P RNA component class A
Rfam family: Bacterial RNase P class A
About the family: Ribonuclease P (RNase P) is a ubiquitous endoribonuclease, found in archaea, bacteria and eukarya as well as chloroplasts and mitochondria. Its best characterised activity is the generation of mature 5'-ends of tRNAs by cleaving the 5'-leader elements of precursor-tRNAs.
Source: RNAcentral
UCAGACGGUCGGAUGGCCGCCUUCGUCUUCGAUGUGAUUCGUAGCGGGGGAGGAAAGUCCGGGCUCCACGGAAACACGGUGCCGGGUAACACCCGGCGGGGGCGACCCUAGGGAAAGUGCCACAGAAAGCAAACCGCCGGCACGGAUGCCAAGGCAAUGGCCUAGCGCAAACCGCCGGUAAGGGUGAAAGGGUGCGGUAAGAGCGCACCGCGUUUCCGGUAACGGAAAUGGCACGGUAAACCCCACCGGGAGCAAGACCAAGUAGGAACGGCAAGAGCCCGUGCGUCCCGCACGGUAUCAGGUGCGUUUCCGCGCCGCCGUUCGGGUCGGUCGCGUGAGGCGUCCGGUAACGGGCGUCCCAGAUGAAUGGCCAUCCCCCUUGUAACCCAACGAGGGGACAGAACCCGGCUUAUAGACCGUCUGGCUGC